This 72-nucleotide transfer RNA is filed under the name Ictidomys tridecemlineatus (thirteen-lined ground squirrel). RNAcentral describes it as "Spermophilus tridecemlineatus (thirteen-lined ground squirrel) tRNA". It matches the Rfam family "tRNA". From Rfam's summary of the family: Transfer RNA (tRNA) molecules are approximately 80 nucleotides in length. Their secondary structure includes four short double-helical elements and three loops (D, anti-codon, and T loops). RNAcentral also lists the same sequence under 1 other name. The record is from Rfam by way of RNAcentral. Lineage: Eukaryota; Metazoa; Chordata; Mammalia; Rodentia; Sciuridae.
GGAGAUAUAACUCAGUGGUAGAGUGCUUGUCUAGCACGCAUGAGGCCCCAGGUUUGAUCCCUCAUAUUGCAA